RNAcentral lists this ribosomal RNA (431 nucleotides) under Levilactobacillus brevis. RNAcentral's name for it is "bacterial SSU rRNA". It matches the Rfam family "Bacterial small subunit ribosomal RNA", at positions 134 to 551 of the family's 1533-position model. The record is from RNAcentral. Lineage: Bacteria; Bacillati; Bacillota; Bacilli; Lactobacillales; Lactobacillaceae.
AAGCAGGGGAUAACACUUGGAAACAGGUGCUAAUACCGUAUAACAACAAAAUCCGCAUGGAUUUUGUUUGAAAGGUGGCUUCGGCUAUCACUUCUGGAUGAUCCCGCGGCGUAUUAGUUAGUUGGUGAGGUAAAGGCCCACCAAGACGAUGAUACGUAGCCGACCUGAGAGGGUAAUCGGCCACAUUGGGACUGAGACACGGCCCAAACUCCUACGGGAGGCAGCAGUAGGGAAUCUUCCACAAUGGACGAAAGUCUGAUGGAGCAAUGCCGCGUGAGUGAAGAAGGGUUUCGGCUCGUAAAACUCUGUUGUUAAAGAAGAACACCUUUGAGAGUAACUGUUCAAGGGUUGACGGUAUUUAACCAGAAAGCCACGGCUAACUACGUGCCAGCAGCCGCGGUAAUACGUAGGUGGCAAGCGUUGUCCGGAUU